RNAcentral lists this ribosomal RNA (719 nucleotides) under uncultured fungus. Its description in RNAcentral is "eukaryotic LSU rRNA". It matches the Rfam family "Eukaryotic large subunit ribosomal RNA", at positions 24 to 664 of the family's 3401-position model. The record is from RNAcentral. Lineage: Eukaryota; Fungi.
CCCGCUGAACUUAAGCAUAUCAAUAAGCGGAGGAAAAGAAACUAACAAGGAUUCCCCUAGUAACGGCGAGUGAAGCGGGAAGAGCUCAAAUUUAAAAUCUGGUUUGCUUGCAAAUCCGAGUUGUAGUCUGAAGAAACGUUUUCCAUGAAAGCUGAGGCACAAGUCCUUUGGAACAGGGCAUCAUAGAGGGUGAGAAUCCCGUCCAUGGUCUCAAGUCUUUCAUUUUGUGAUACGUUUUCUAAGAGUCAGGUUGUUUGGGAAUGCAGCCUAAAAUGGGUGGUAAAUUUCAUCUAAAGCUAAAUAUUGGCGAGAGACCGAUAGCGAACAAGUACCGUGAGGGAAAGAUGAAAAGAACUUUGAAAAGAGAGUUAAAAAGUACGUGAAAUUGUUGAAAGGGAACCGUUUGAAGCCAGUCUUGCUUGCUUGUGAUCAGUCUUUGCUUCGGCUUGGAUGCACUCUCAGGUUAUGCAGGUCAACGUCAGUUUGAGAGGUGGGAAAAAAGCUUGAGGAAUGUGGCCUUCGGGUGUUAUAGCCUCUUGCUAAAUACCAUCUUUUGGACUGAGGCUCGCAGCAAAAAUGUGGGGCAGGUUUGCGUUUGAGGUGAUACAUUAUUAAGACAGCUUGCUGACUUAGUUUUGUCUAUCUUCACUGUAAGCUUCGCUUCUAAUUUGCUUAGGUCGUUGACAUAAUGGCUUUAAAUGACCCGUCUUGAAACACGG